UCGCCUGUUUAUCAAAAACAUAGCUUUAUGUAAAUUUACAUAAAGUUUAACCUGCCCAAUGAUUUUUUUUUAAUGGCCGCAGUACUUUGACUGUGCUAAGGUAGCAUAAUAAAUUGGCUUUUAAUUUAAGUCUGGAAUGAAUGGAUUUAUGAAUAUUUACUGUCUUUAUAAAAUUUAUGUUAAGUUUCUGAAGAAGGUGAAAAUUCCUUUAAUAAAAUUUAAAAGACGAGAAGACCCUAGGAGUUUAAAUGGUAAAUUUUGUUGGGGCAACAUUAUAGUAAUAUAAUCUAUAAAAUAAUAUUUAAUCUAAUCGAAAAUUUUUAAUUAAGAGUAAGCUACCCUAGGGAUAACAGCAUAAUUUGUUUAACUAAUAAGUUUGUGACCUCGAUGUUGGAUUAGGGACUGUAAAUAUUAAAUAUAUUUAUUGAUUUGUUCUGUUCGAACAUUUUAUACCUACGUGAUCUGAGUUCAGA
This 473-nucleotide ribosomal RNA is filed under the name Everettia sp. 1 PJ-2020. RNAcentral describes it as "partial large subunit ribosomal RNA". It matches the Rfam family "Bacterial large subunit ribosomal RNA", at positions 1796 to 2615 of the family's 2925-position model. The record is from RNAcentral. Lineage: Eukaryota; Metazoa; Mollusca; Gastropoda; Stylommatophora; Ariophantidae.